GAUCAAGCUACUAAGGGCUUACGGUGAAUGCCUUGGUGCCAAGAGGCGAUGAAGGACGCAGCAAGCUGCGAUAAGCCACGGGGAGCCGCAAGCAGACGUUGAUCCGUGGAUUUCCGAAUGGGACAACCCAGUUCCGGUAACUCGGGACUAUUGCCGGAUGAAUUCAUAGUCCGGCAAGGCGACACGGGGUGAAGUGAAACAUCUCAGUAACCCCAGGAAAAGAAAACGAAGUGAUUCCGUCAGUAGUGGCGAGCGAACGCGGAAGAGCCCAAACCGGGGAAACUUGUUUCCCCGGGGUUGAGGGACCUCGAUGUGGGAGGCGGCGGGCGAGCUUAACGAUUUGGAAAAAUCGACCAUAGACCGUGACAGUCGGGUGAGCGAAGCCUUAAACCCCCUAGGGGUAUCCCAAGUAACGCGGUGCACGUGAAACCCCGCGUGAAUCGGUCCGGACCACCGGAUAAGGCUAAAUACUCCUUGGCGACCGAUAGUGAACCAGUACCGUGAGGGAAAGGUGAAAAGAACCCCUGCUAGGGGAGUGAAAUAGUACCUGCAACCGUAAGCUUACAAGGUGUGGGAGUUCCGCUUCGGCGGAAUGACCGCCUGCCUUUUGCAUAAUGAGUCUGCGAGUUAUUGUCUGUGGCGAGCUUAAGUCCUGAUGGGAUGGAGGCGAAGCGAAAGCGAGUACGAAAUGUGCGACCAGUCGCAGGCAAUAGACCCGAAGCGGAGGUGAUCUAUUCUUGGGCAGGCUGAAACUGGAGUAACACCCAGUGGAGGGCCGAACUCGUGAAUGUUGAAAAAUUCUGAGAUGACCUGAGAAUAGGAGCGAAAGACUAAACAAACCCCGUGAUAGCUGGUUCUCUCCGAAAUCGCUUGAGGGCGAGUGUUGUGGAAGUACUCCGUGGAGGUAGAGCACUGGAUGGCUUAGGGACCCCACCAGGUUACCAAAACCAAUCAAACUCCGAAUUCCAUGGAUCUCAGUAUCACAGCAAUCAGGCUGUGGGGGCUAAGCUUCAUAGCCGAGAGGGUAACAGCCCAGAUCGCCAGCUAAGGUGCCCCAAUACGGUUAAGUGGAAAGGAUGUGACGUUGCUUGGACAGUGAGGAUGUUGGCUUAGAGGCAGCCAUCAUUUAAACAGUGCGUAAUAGCUGACUCAUCGAGCGAUGUCGCGCCGACGAUGAUUGGCGAUGAAACCGUAUACCGAAGCUGUGGAUUCCCGGAGGGUUCGCCCCCCGGGAGUGGUAGGAGAGCGUCGCGGCUGCGGCGAAGCCUGACCGUAAGGGACGGUGGAGCGGCCGCGAGUGAGAAUGCAGACACGAGUAGCGAUAAACCGGAUGAGAAUUCCGGUCGCCGUAAACCUAAGGUUUCCUGGGCAAGGUUCGUCCUCCUAGGGUUAGCCGGGAGCUAAGGCGAGGCCGUAAGGCGUAGUCGAUGCACAGCAGGUUAAUAUUCCUGCGCUCGCUAGGGGGUAGUGGUAGGAUGACGCAGAGAGAAAAGUGGCUAAGUCAUUGAAAGACAGAGCUGAGACUUCGGUCAAAGCGCACCACCGGACAAUCUGCCGAGAAAAGUCCUGCCAUGUUUCCCUGGCGACCCGUACCGUAAACCGACACAGGUGGGUGAGUGUAAGCGCACUCAGGCGCGCGAGAGAAACCUCUCUAAGGAACUCGGCAAAAUAGCCCCGUAACUUCGGGAAAAGGGGUGCUUGCUUGCGUUGCAGUCAUGUGACGCGGAGCAAGCCACAGUAAAUUGGGUUUAGCGACUGUUUAACAAAAACACAGCACUCUGCGAAGUUGUGAAAACAACGUAUAGGGUGUGACACGUGACCAAUGCGGAAAGAUUAAGUCGACUUGUUAGCCGCAAGGCGAAGCUCGUCGUCUAAGUCCCCGUGAAUGUCGGCCGUAACUAUAACGGUCCUAAGGUAGCGAAAUUCCUUGUCGGGUAAGUUCCGACCUGCACGAAUCGUGUAACGACUGAACCGCUGUCUCGGAGAGGUUCUCGGCGAAACUGUAACGGCGGUGAAGAUGCCGCCUGCCCGCAGUAGGACGGCAAGACCCUAUGCACCUUUACUGUAAGCUGGUAUUGGGUUCUGGUUAAUAAUGCGUAGCGUAGGUGGGAGACUUUGAAGCGCCGGCCUCGGUCGGCGUGGAGUCGCAAUGUGAAACACCACUCUUCGUUAAUUAGGAUUCUAACCCCGGCCUGUCAUCCAGGCGGGGGACAUUGCCUGCGGGUCAGUUUGACUGGGGCGGUUUCCUCCCAAAUCGUAACGGAGGAGCGCUAAGCUUGGCUCAGCACGGUUGGCAACCGUGUGUCGAGCGUAUGGGUAGAAGCCAGGUUAACUGCGAGACCCACAAGUCGAGCAGGUGCGAAAGCAGGCCCAAAUGAUCCGAUAGUUUAAUGUGGAAUUGCUAUCGCUCAUCGGACAAAAGGUACGCUAGGGAUAACAGGCUGAUCGACUCCAAGAGUUCAUAUCGACGAGUCGGUUUGGCACCUCGAUGUCGGCUCAUCGCAUCCUGGGGCUGGAGAAGGUCCCAAGGGUCCGGCUGUUCGCCGGUUAAAGCGGUACGCGAGCUGGGUUCAGAACGUCGUGAGACAGUUCGGUCCUUAUCCACUGUGGGCGCAGGAAACUUGAGGGAUUCCUUCUCUAGUACGAGAGGACCGAGAAGGACGCACUUCUGGUGUGGCAGUUGUUCCGUCAGGGGCAACGCUGCGUAGCCAUGUGCGGAAGAGAUAAGCGCUGAAAGCAUCUAAGCGCCAAGCUCCUCCCAAGAUAUGGUUUCCCGGCCGCAAGGCCCUGAAGACCCCCGGUAGACUACCGGGUUGAUAGGUUAGGCGUGUAAGCGCUGCGAGGCGCUCAGCGGACUAAUACUAAUCGGUCGUGCGGCUUGAUCGU
RNAcentral lists this ribosomal RNA (2886 nucleotides) under Verrucomicrobiota bacterium. Its description in RNAcentral is "Verrucomicrobia bacterium (wastewater metagenome) 23S ribosomal RNA". It matches the Rfam family "Bacterial large subunit ribosomal RNA". Lineage: Bacteria; Pseudomonadati; Verrucomicrobiota. The record is from RNAcentral.